RNAcentral lists this ribosomal RNA (450 nucleotides) under uncultured bacterium. RNAcentral describes it as "bacterial SSU rRNA". It matches the Rfam family "Bacterial small subunit ribosomal RNA", at positions 354 to 796 of the family's 1533-position model. The record is from RNAcentral.
GUGGGGAAUUUUGGACAAUGGGCGCAAGCCUGAUCCAGCCAUUCCGCGUGAGUGAAGAAGGCCUUCGGGUUGUAAAGCUCUUUCGGCAGGAACGAAACGGUCUGGGUUAAUACCCUGGGCUAAUGACGGUACCUGAAGAAGAAGCACCGGCUAACUACGUGCCAGCAGCCGCGGUAAUACGUAGGGUGCGAGCGUUAAUCGGAAUUACUGGGCGUAAAGCGUGCGCAGGCGGUUCUAUAAGACAGAUGUGAAAUCCCCGGGCUUAACCUGGGAACUGCGUUUGUGACUGUAGGACUUGAGUGUGGCAGAGGGGGGUGGAAUUCCACGUGUAGCAGUGAAAUGCGUAGAGAUGUGGAGGAACACCGAUGGCGAAGGCAGCCCCCUGGGUCAACACUGACGCUCAUGCACGAAAGCGUGGGUAGCAAACAGGAUUAGAUACCCGAGUAGUCC